Molecule: non-coding RNA, 72 nt
Organism: Angiostrongylus costaricensis
Lineage: Eukaryota; Metazoa; Nematoda; Chromadorea; Rhabditida; Metastrongylidae
Source: Rfam
GCCUUAUUCUCUCAGGUAUAGGGGACCUAUCUAGUAAACAGAAGGUCGCUGCUUCGAUUCCAGCAUUAGGCA